UACAGAGGUCCCGAGCGUUGUUCGGAUUCAUUGGGCGUAAAGGGUGCGUAGGCGGCGGGGUAAGUCUGAUGUGAAAUCCUGGGGCUCAACCCUGGAACUGCAUUGGAUACUACCUUGCUAGAGUACUGGAGAGGAAACUGGAAUUUACGGUGUAGCAGUGAAAUGCGUAGAGAUCGUAAGGAAGACCAGUGGCGAAGGCGAGUUUCUGGACAGUUACUGACGCUGAGGCACGAAAGGCCCAGGGGGAGCAAAACGGGG
RNAcentral lists this ribosomal RNA (258 nucleotides) under uncultured bacterium. Its description in RNAcentral is "partial 16S ribosomal RNA". It matches the Rfam family "Bacterial small subunit ribosomal RNA", at positions 524 to 778 of the family's 1533-position model. The record is from RNAcentral.